ACUAGAGAUUUGGUUAGCAUCGAGAAAUGCAAUUAUGAACUAGUAUAAAAAACUAGUUAGAGUUAAAUUGUGACAUUGUUGUCAGUUGAAUCCUCUAAAGGGGGAUCAGAUCUUACUCACAUAGUCUGUUUUCUUAGCUUGGUGGUGGUCGCUCCCCCCAGGCAGUGAGUUCCGGAGUAGUCACUUGUUGGGCUAACGUACUUGCCCCAGGACUAACGUACUUGUCCGACAGACGGUCCCAUCGGGAGGCAGCUUAG
This 257-nucleotide long non-coding RNA is filed under the name Ananas comosus (pineapple). RNAcentral describes it as "long non-coding RNA (ACOM_LNC036439)". The record is from RNAcentral. Lineage: Eukaryota; Viridiplantae; Streptophyta; Magnoliopsida; Poales; Bromeliaceae.